This 439-nucleotide ribosomal RNA is filed under the name uncultured bacterium. RNAcentral describes it as "partial 16S ribosomal RNA". It matches the Rfam family "Bacterial small subunit ribosomal RNA", at positions 339 to 795 of the family's 1533-position model. The record is from RNAcentral.
CUACGGGGGGCAGCAGUAGGGAAUAUUGGGCAAUGGGCGAAAGCCUGACCCAGCCAUGCCGCGUGUGUGAUGAAGGCCCUAGGGUUGUAAAGCACUUUCAAUGGUGAAGAUAAUGACGGUAACCAUAGAAGAAGCCCCGGCUAACUUCGUGCCAGCAGCCGCGGUAAUACGAAGGGGGCAAGCGUUGUUCGGAUUUACUGGGCGUAAAGCGCGUGCAGGCGGUUUGUUAAGUUAGAUGUGAAAGCCCAGGGCUCAACCCUGGAAUUGCAUUUAAUACUGGCAAACUUGAGUAUAGGAGAGGAGAACGGAAUUUCCAGUGUAGAGGUGAAAUUCGUAGAUAUUGGAAAGAACACCAGUGGCGAAGGCGGUUCUCUGGCCUAAUACUGACGCUGAGGCGCGAAAGCGUGGGGAGCAAACAGGAUUAGAUACCCGCGUAGUC